GCGGUUGUGGUGGAACGGCAGACACGAUGGCUUCAGGUGCCAUUGCACGCAAGUGUGUGGAGGUUCAAAUCCUCUUAGCCGCA
RNAcentral lists this transfer RNA (83 nucleotides) under Oscillospiraceae bacterium. RNAcentral describes it as "tRNA-Leu". It matches the Rfam family "tRNA". From Rfam's summary of the family: Transfer RNA (tRNA) molecules are approximately 80 nucleotides in length. Their secondary structure includes four short double-helical elements and three loops (D, anti-codon, and T loops). Further hydrogen bonds mediate the characteristic L-shaped molecular structure. tRNAs have two regions of fundamental functional importance: the anti-codon, which is responsible for specific mRNA codon recognition, and the 3' end, to which the tRNAs corresponding amino acid is attached (by aminoacyl-tRNA synthetases). tRNAs cope with the degeneracy of the genetic code in two manners: having more than one tRNA (with a specific anti-codon) for a particular amino acid; and 'wobble' base-pairing, i.e. permitting non-standard base-pairing at the 3rd anti-codon position. The record is from RNAcentral. Lineage: Bacteria; Bacillati; Bacillota; Clostridia; Eubacteriales; Oscillospiraceae.